Molecule: long non-coding RNA, 2046 nt
Organism: Terrapene triunguis (Three-toed box turtle)
Lineage: Eukaryota; Metazoa; Chordata; Testudines; Emydidae
Exons: 3
Source: RefSeq, a predicted model, not a curated record
GUGGGGGGCCUUUAGUGAGCAUAUAUGCAUUGGGCUUGGGGCAGUGCUAGUACAGCUCUAGUGGGCGUAGCUCGCAAUAUCAGUGGCACAAAAAUUACAUUGUGUGGAAACACCUUGUGUUCUGUACAGAAAGCAGAGCCUCCUCUGUUUCUAGGAUGAAAGCUGGAGACAAGCCUGUCACUAUUUCCCCCUGCCUACCAAUGGAAGGAUAAAGGCGAGCUUAAGUGAGGAUCUAUUAGUAGCGUAUUCCUCCCUUUUCAUCCCCCUAAGGUUGGCUUUCCCACAGGAAGGCCUAAAAUCAUAGAUGAUAGAAAUCGCCCAAUGGCUUCUUAAAGAAAUUAAUUGAUUUUCUCCAGGUAGCACAGCUUAAAAACAGUGUGAUUGUCGGGAGGUUCCCCUCUGCGCCAUAGGGGUAAUGAAUUAGUUAGACUUUGAAGAAGAAUGUGUAUGGCUCCCACAUGCUCUGUUACUGCCAUGUACCGCCAGAGAGGGGGAUACGUUUUGGAGCUUGUGAACCAAUCCGUUUAUAAUCCUUGACUUGUUUAUACAGUCUAUUUUUUUUCUCUCAUUUUAAUGUAAUUGUGUUUUGUCAAUAUAACCUGUAGGUUUCCACUCCACCAAGGAAUGAAAGAAGGCAGAGAGACUUGAGCAGGAAAGAACUACUACGACUGAACAUGAAGCCUGUUACAGUCCGGACGUGAGAUUUCAAUGGAGAAGACCAGCAUGAGGCAAAAUUGCAGCAAACUCCUCCUGAUCAUGAUGAUGUCUUAGAUUCCCUGUCUUUGUGCAGAAUUUGAGCAACUGAUGCCUGUUCAAGGUCUUUCAUAGAAUUCUGUGUUUUAGACCCAUGUCUCUGAAUACCCUGCAGACAAGAGCAGUGGAGUGAUGUGUAAAGCUGCUGUUCCUUCAUUUUGCCAGAAGAUGGAAAACUUUCCCUAUCUUGACAGAUUUCAGCGUGGUAGCUGUGUUAGUCUGUAUCAGCCACCACAAGUACUCCUCCUUCUUUUCCCUAUCUUGUGUGACACUGAAAAUCCUAAAAACCUGCUAUGUUCUAGCUGUCUGUCUCCUUCCUUCCUUCCAAGCUUUAAGAGGGAGUAAUGCUGUAGGGACCUCUGAAAAUUUGAGCCCCCAUAGGCGCAGACUCUAGUGGCGCUGGUGGGUGCUCAAGCCCCCUCUACCCCCAGCCCUGCCCCAACUCCACCCCUGCUCCGCCUCUCCCACCCCCAUUCCAGUAGUAACUGAUUGACGUAUUCCACCAAAUGGGGAGCUGCAUUUUAGAGGUGACAAAGAGAAACUUUGAUCAUCCUAAUACAAAAUGGCCUCUUCCUGCUCUCAUUAUUCACAUGUAAUUUUGUUUGUGGUGUAUGCCCAAGAAUGAAUUUGAUCUGGGCCUACGCAAAGGUAAUGGGAUCAGGCGGUGGGGGCACAAACCUGAUAAGAGUGCAUGUGAGCACAAACUUAAUAUCGGGGGCAGUGCUAGUAAGUGUAUUGUGCGUAGGUGUUGGAUACAUACAAACCUGAUUUGAUUUGGGUGGGGGGAGAGGGUAUGUGAAUGCACAUAAACCUGAUUGAUGGGGUAUGGACAGGCUAAUUACAAACUAACAAUUGAUGUGUAUUAAGGGAUGCAUGCACUCUUGCUUAGUGGGGGAAAGGGCACCAAUCUAGCCUCUUCCAAUACAACCGUCUACUACAGCAAACAUCCAAAUUGCCAAGGUUUUCUGGGGAAAAGUAACCUGGUAAAAAGUAGAAUAGGAAAAAGUGGCAGAGUUCAGGUGUGGUGUGUGGUCUGUUUGAAUGGAAAGGCUAAUUAUCAUUCAGUAACUCUUAUUUUUAAUAUGGAAUUUUUGUGAACUGGGACACUGAUGCAUCAAUGUAUUUAAGCAUGUUCCUGAUUGGAGCACUAACAGCAGUGGGAUGGCUCACAUACUUUAAGUUAGUCACGUGCAUAAGUACUCUCUGGAAUUGGGGUUUUAAGGCUGAACAAUUACAGGGCUUUUUUAUUCUCCUUUUUCCUGCCUGCCAGGACGGGGGAGCCCAGAUCCCCAG